This 560-nucleotide ribosomal RNA is filed under the name uncultured delta proteobacterium. Its description in RNAcentral is "bacterial SSU rRNA". It matches the Rfam family "Bacterial small subunit ribosomal RNA", at positions 112 to 689 of the family's 1533-position model. Lineage: Bacteria; Deltaproteobacteria. The record is from RNAcentral.
AACGCGUAGACAAUCUGCCCUUCAGUCUGGGACAACUUUUCGAAAGGAGAGCUAAUACCGGAUAACAAUGUUUGACAUAAGUUAAAUAUUUGAAAGCUUUAUGUGCUGAAGGAGGGGUCUGCGUCCCAUUAGCUAGUUGGUGAGGUAAAGGCUUACCAAGGCAACGAUGGGUAACGGGUUUGAGAGGACGAUCCGUCACACUGGAAAGUGAGACACGGUCCAGACUCCUACGGGAGGCAGCAGUGGGGAAUAUUGCACAAUGGAGGAAACUCUGAUGCAGCAAUGUCGCGUGAGUGAAGAAGGCCCUUGGGUCGUAAAGCUCUUUUAUGGGGGAAGAUGAUGACGGUACCCCAGGAAUAAGCACCGGCUAACUACGUGCCAGCAGCCGCGGUAAUACGUAGGGUGCGAGCGUUGUUCGGAAUUACUGGGCGUAAAGGGCGCGCAGGCGGAAUAGUAAGUCGGAGGUGAAAGCCCGGGGCUCAACCCCGGAGGGUCUUUCGAAACUGCUAAUCUAGAGAGGGUCAGGGGCCAGCAGAAUUCCUGGUGUAGAGGUGAAAUUC